AGAAUCAACGCUGGCGGCGUGCCUCAGACAUGCAAGUCGAACGAUUAAAGCUCUCUUCGGAGAGUGUAUAGAGUGGCGCACGGGUGAGUAACACGUAAGUAAUCUACCUUUGAGUGGGGAAUAACAGUCGGAAACGGCUGCUAAUACCGCAUAAUGCAGCGGCAUCGCAAGAUGACAGUUGUUAAAGGAGCAAUCCGCUUAAAAGAGGAGCUUGCGGCAGAUUAGCUUGUUGGUAAGGUAACGGCUUACCAAGGCUACGAUCUGUAUCCGGUCUAAGAGGACGGUCGGACACACUGACACUGAAUAACGGGUCAGACUCCUACGGGAGGCAGCAGUCGGGAAUUUUGGGCAAUGGGCGAAAGCCUGACCCAGCAACGCCGCGUGAAGGAUGAAGUAUUCGGUAUGUAAACUUCGAAAGAAUAGAAGAAUAAAUGACGUAACUAUUUAAUAAGGUCCGGCUAACGUACGUGACUAGCAGCCG
RNAcentral lists this ribosomal RNA (481 nucleotides) under uncultured soil bacterium. RNAcentral describes it as "bacterial SSU rRNA". It matches the Rfam family "Bacterial small subunit ribosomal RNA", at positions 26 to 517 of the family's 1533-position model. The record is from RNAcentral.